UAGAUCUUUGAAAAGCAGAAAUGGAGCCUUCAGCACAACCACCCAGAAUUUAGCAAGUGAUUUCAGGAUGGAAAGUCAACAACAAAACACUUCUCUUUUCCAGCAGCCAUUGUACAGCGCAUACAGCGGUUAAAACCAGCUCACCAAAUGUGUUGGAGCUCAGCUUGAGUUGCUAACAGGGUAGAGCCUGUUG
Molecule: long non-coding RNA, 193 nt
Organism: Xiphophorus couchianus (Monterrey platyfish)
Lineage: Eukaryota; Metazoa; Chordata; Actinopteri; Cyprinodontiformes; Poeciliidae
Exons: 3
Source: RefSeq, a predicted model, not a curated record